CCUGAAGAAACUACAGGCAGAACACACUGCCAGUCUUACUCUCCUUUCCUGUGGGGAUGGGGAUGGGGGGGGGGUGUAACUGACCACAGUAGGGCUAUUUGCUGGGAAAAUGUUUUUUUUUUUUCCAUAUUUAUUAAUUUGGCUGCGCUGGGUCUUAUUUGUGGCAUGUGGAAUCUAUUUUCCGAGCCAAGGAUCGAACAUGGGCCCCCUGCAUUGGAAGCAUGGAGUCUCAGCCACUGGACCACCGGGGAAGUCCCUGCUGAAAUGUUUAAACUUGAAUGCAGAGAAGGCCCCUUGAGGCAAUGUCACCCCCAUCAACAGGAAGACCCAAAUGGAAGAGAAGCCACCAGCAGCCAGCCUUUCUGCUAGAAAGGCUUUGUAGCAGACACACGGGGGGAGAGACAGCCACAGCCUGAGGGUGUAGCCCUCUCCAGC
This 435-nucleotide long non-coding RNA is filed under the name Bos indicus x Bos taurus (hybrid cattle). RNAcentral describes it as "lncRNA (ENSBIXG00005024291.1)". Lineage: Eukaryota; Metazoa; Chordata; Mammalia; Artiodactyla; Bovidae. The record is from RNAcentral.